UGUGUCCAGCUGACACAGCUGACUGGAGGCAGUGGGAGUGACAGUAAGUCGACCAGGACUCGAGCCUACGUUCAGCCCAAUUUAGGUGGGGGUUGUGUAGAUGCAACCAGGGGAACCCGAGAACUAUGGAAGCAUGUCUAAUAGGAAACACGUAAAAGGUAAUACGUUCCCUAUGGUUUCCUGAGACCACUAGUUCAAAGGAUUUAGUCCGAUGGGUCACCUUAGGGAGGCUUCCUCCAUCUAGAGCGGACACCAGGAGCGGAGAUGGAAGGAGCUCUAACUCUAUUUUUGCCUGUCGGACGAGUGUGGGAUCAAAAAGGUUAAAAUCACAACCAGAAUCGAUCAAGGCUGAGAUCGGGAAAUUAAUUUGGGCUGAAAUAAUUGCUGCAGGCAAACAAAGUCGUGUGGAUAAAGACAUAGGGGAAACUUUUGGGUCCGCCGGCUUCCCUAUUAAAGACGGCGGACCUGGUCUUUUGGACGCUCGGGACAGGAUGCAAUAUAAUGAUCUGGGGAUGCACAAUAAAUGCACAAAUUCUGCUCUCGGCGUUGACUGCGCUCCUCGAGAGAGAGUCGCACCCGGCCAAUUUGCAUAGGCUCAGGCGGAGGCAGAGCGGGUACCGCGGAUCGAGCUGGAGUUAACGCUGGAGGCGGGACCAAGGGGCGCGGGGUGAUUCUGUCAAAGCGGGUCUGCCUUCUGCUCCUGAGACGACUGUCUAGUCGCGUUGUCAAGGCGACAAGUUCGUCAAGGGAUUCUGGCUCUUGUACGCGUGCCAGCUCGUCUUUAAGUGGUUCAUGUAGCGCUUGGAAGAAGGCAGCCUUAAGAGCGCGCGUCUCCCAGCCCGCUGCGGCAGCGAGAGUGCAGAACUCUAAAGCAAAGUCCGAGACUGGAUGCCCGCGUUGCUUAACGGCCCACAGGCGACGGGACAGCUCCGCCGGUUCAAUAUCGGCAGAAAAAACUGUCUUAAACUCUUGCACAAAAGUCUCAAAAGACUGGCCGUACUGCUGGCAAUUCGGAAAGCGGGCUUCAGCCCACCUGAGGGCUCUCCUGGUCAGUAGACCGAGGAUAAAAGAAAUCUUCGCAUCGUCAUGCGGAAAAGCGUGCAGGGAUCAGUUGAAAACUAAAGAACAUUGAAAAAGGAAACCACCGCAAUCUACUCCCUCACCGGACAACCUCUCCGGGCUGGGGAGGGAAACGUCGCAAGUCGCGGGGCUGUGUGUGGUCUCAGGAGCCGGUGCUGGAGAAGCCGGUGCUGAAGAAGCCAGUGCUGGAGAAGCCGGUGCUGGAGAAGCCGGUGCUGGAGAAGCCGGUGCUGGAGAAGCCGGUGCUGGAGAAGCUGGUGCCGGAGAAGCCGGUGCCGGAGAAGCCGGCGCUAGAGAGACCGGCGGUGGAUUCUGGAGAGCAUGGGUUAGGUGAUCAAGUUGCGCGGUCAGCUGCUGCACCUGCUCCUGCAAAGCAUGCAUAACUAAGCCCUGACUUUGAAGCUGCUCCUGUUGGUCUGCGCAGAGCCAUAGAGCUAAAAAGAGUCGCGACACUCCCAUUGGACUCCGUUGUACGCUGUUUGCCGCCCACUUCCGGGGUAUGCAGCCUCGCAUAGUUCCAAAAAGCCAUUCUAUGGCGUCGGACAUCAUUCACUUCCAUUGCUGACUCUCGAGUAACUUCUGAGCUCCAGCCAGCAUAAACACCAGUGCAUGCGUCGCUUGUCCUUGGUGGUCAGGCAGCGUGAUGUUGCCAAAUAGCCUCCCCGUUCCCAGAUGGAGCUCCACGCCUGGAGUAAUGGACAUUUCAUCUAAGCGUGCGGAUGUUAGGCAGUGGAAUUUGCAUUUUCUGGAGGGUUUUAUAACCGGUGGUGCCAGUGGUAAAUCUUAUUUUUAUAGCUUUUUUGUCUCCUUUCCCCACCGUAUUCCUCUCUUCUUUUCCUGUCCAAGGGCUGUCAUUUGGUCUCUGUUAAACAUUUGGGUGAACUUCUGAUUAACUAAAUUGUUCCUCUUUCUUAGCGCCAAAUUCAUUCUUUUUUGCUGUGCUAGAGCCCUCUCUGCUCUCCUUCUCAUUAACUUCUCCAUUUUAAGUUGCCUUAUUAGGUCCUCCACAAUUGCACUAUUAGACCCUGGCAGUCUGGUCCCUGGAGCACCUGGCCCUGGCAAAGUUGGUUCAUCGUUGCUGGCUCCUGACUGACUGGCCCUCGGCACACACAUCCCUGGAUCACCUGCCCCUUGUAAAGUAACCUCUUGGUCGCUCUCUCUGUCUCCUGUCAUGUCCCUUUCCUUGCCCUCAAAAUCCACCUCAAUUUCUCCCUCAACCUCUGUAACAAUAACAAGGUAAUGUUGCUGUUAUAUGUAUUUUGCAUUUGCACCUACUGUUAUCUUCAAUAAAAGGGUACACUACACUCCUAUAGAAAACAAAUUAAAGCGAAAAAUUACUGUAAUGUGAAUCAAAUCAUCUGCCACAAUCAGAAACCAAAAAAAUGUAUAAACUCAUCUACUGGCAAUGGUUAAUUUGGUAGAAAUUUUUAGAUUAUCUACAUUCUGUAUGCAAAUCCUCAGAGAAUCCCUGAAGCUGGAUGUACUAAUAUGAAUGUAAUGUCUCAUUAGGAGUGUAGUCUAUCCUUGAAUUACAUUAAAUGGGGAAUAUUUUUAGUGUCCAGGACUCAGAUGAAGAGGAUGUUAGUAUGCGUUGUUGAGAGGAACUGCCCUACAGUGACUGGCCAUAGUGCUUACUGGAACUCUACAGAUCUUGCUGGACCAGCAGUAUCGUUUUUGUGGCCAUCACAGGUUUCAGUGGAGCACCCC
Fundulus heteroclitus (mummichog) is the source of this 2787-nucleotide long non-coding RNA. RefSeq lists it as uncharacterized. The transcript is spliced from 4 exons. The record is from RefSeq and is a predicted model, not a curated record. Lineage: Eukaryota; Metazoa; Chordata; Actinopteri; Cyprinodontiformes; Fundulidae.